GACGAACGCUGGCGGCGUGCUUAACACAUGCAAGUCGAACGGAAAGGCCCUGCUUUUGUGGGGUGCUCGAGUGGCGAACGGGUGAGUAACACGUGAGUAACCUGCCCUUGACUUUGGGAUAACUUCAGGAAACUGGGGCUAAUACCGGAUAGGAGCUCCUGCUGCAUGGUGGGGGUUGGAAAGUUCCGGCGGUUGGGGAUGGACUCGCGGCUUAUCAGCUUGUUGGUGGGGUAGUGGCUUACCAAGGCUUUGACGGGUAGCCGGCCUGAGAGGGUGACCGGCCACAUUGGGACUGAGAUACGGCCCAGACUCCUACGGGAGGCAGCAGUGGGGAAUAUUGCACAAUGGGCGGAAGCCUGAUGCAGCAACGCCGCGUGCGGGAUGACGGCCUUCGGGUUGUAAACCGCUUUCGCCUGUGACGAAGCGUGAGUGACGGUAAUGGGUAAAGAGGCACCGGCUAACUACGUG
RNAcentral lists this ribosomal RNA (468 nucleotides) under uncultured bacterium. Its description in RNAcentral is "partial 16S ribosomal RNA". It matches the Rfam family "Bacterial small subunit ribosomal RNA", at positions 28 to 507 of the family's 1533-position model. The record is from RNAcentral.